This 253-nucleotide ribosomal RNA is filed under the name uncultured bacterium. Its description in RNAcentral is "partial 16S ribosomal RNA". It matches the Rfam family "Bacterial small subunit ribosomal RNA", at positions 524 to 776 of the family's 1533-position model. The record is from RNAcentral.
UACGAAGGGGGCUAGCGUUGCUCGGAAUCACUGGGCGUAAAGCGCACGUAGGCGGCUUCUUAAGUCAGGGGUGAAAUCCUGGAGCUCAACUCCAGAACUGCCUUUGAUACUGGAGAGCUUGAGUCCGGGAGAGGUGAGUGGAACUCCGAGUGUAGAGGUGAAAUUCGUAGAUAUUCGCAAGAACACCAGUGGCGAAGGCGGCUCACUGGCCCGAUACUGACGCUGAGGCACGAAAGCUAGGGGAGCAAACAGG